UAGAAUUCAUUUUAAAUAUGAUUUUUUCUUCUGUUUUUGUAAUUAUAUAAGGAGGACAUAUUUAUUGUGAAUUAUUGAUUUUAUAAUUACUGCUGCUGGUAUUCACAUUAUUACACAAUGAAAAUCUUUUAAUAUACAGUGCUCUUCACACUGAGCUGGUGAACAGAUAGUGCAAUGCAAUUUAUUAUUUUUAUUUUUCUAUUUUUUUUGUUUUCUUGAUUUCCAUUUUUUAUUCUAAUUUGUUAUAUAUAUUAGUAGAAUGCAUUACAAUUCAUAUUACACAUAUAAAGCACAAUUUUUCAUAUCUCUGGUUGUAUACGUAUACUUUCAAAAAUGAUAUCCAUCUUAUUCCACCAUCAUUUCUAACCUCAUGCCCCCUCCUUUACCCUCCCACCCCUCUGCCCUAUCAAGAGUUCCUCUAUUCCUUCCAUGCUCCCUCUCCCUACCCCACUAUGAAUCAGCCUCCUUAUAUCAGAGAAAACACAUGGCUUUUUUGGGGGGCGGGGGGGUUGGCUAAUUUUGCUUAGCAUUAUCUUCUCCAAAUCCAUCCAUUUGCCUGCAAAUGCCAUGAUUUUAUUUUCUUUUAUUGCUGAGUAAUAUUCCAUUGUAUAUGUAUGUCACAUUUUUUUUUUAUCCAUUCAUCUACUGAAGGGUAUCUAGGUUGGCUUCACAAUUUAGCUAUUGUGAGUUGUGGUGCUAUAAACAUUGAUGUGGCUAUGUCCCUGUAGAAUGCUGUUUUUAAGUCCUUUGGGUAUAGAUGGAGGAGAAGGACAGCAGAGUCAAAUGGUGGUUGCAUUCCCAGUUUUCCAAAGAAUCUCCAUACUGCUUUCCAUAUUGGCAGCACCAAGUUGCAGUCCCACCAGCAGUGUAUAAGUGUGCCUUUUUCCCCACAUCCUUGCCAAUACUUAUUGUUGUUUGUAUUCUU
This 925-nucleotide long non-coding RNA is filed under the name Marmota monax (woodchuck). The record is from RNAcentral. Lineage: Eukaryota; Metazoa; Chordata; Mammalia; Rodentia; Sciuridae.